AAAAAAAGAAAAAAAAAAGUAAUGCAGCUUCCAUUUCAAGGUUGAAAGUGUUUAUUACCAGAAAAGGCAAAGCUAGUGUUAAAUGCUUUUUAGCCAAGUGAAUGGUGCCAACACUUAAGGAGGAUAUUCUGGGCUGCAAGAGCACCUAUCAUCUGUCUCUUGUCCUAAACCCUAUGAUGAAAAUCUACCCCUUUCUGCCAGGACUGCAGCAUGGGGCUCUUCAGCUUAACCACUUCAUUGCUGUCCCACCUCUCUGUGAAUUAGUGUUCAGGAGAUAACUUGGCCAUAUCUAUCAGUCCCAAAGGGAGAAAAAUAAAAAUGGAGGGAAUUAAUCUGACAUGAUACAAAUGAAGUAAAUCUAAAACCACCCUACCCUCGAACAGAGAUUUUUCCAUAAAAAGAGACGUCAGGGGCUGCAUGAAGAACCAUACUAUUACUAGAACCAUACUAUUACUAUGGAUUUUACAUGGAAGAUGCUCAGAUACUACAGUGAUGGGUAACAAUAUAAAACCUCAAGGUAGUUUCACAUGCAACCUAAACCUCAUCAAGAGGUUUAUACAAGAGUACUCAAUGCAAGAACUAGGGAAUAAGUGGUUACAAAGAAUGGGGAGACAGGAGGUAUUGAUGUGAUCUAAGCCAUUAACUUGCUGUAUGACUGUGGAUCAGUCACUGCUAGUUUCAAAAUGGCCACCAUUUUGCAUGUUUCUCAAUGGAGAGAGAGGCCAGAGCCCACCUGUACCAAAGAUGGCCACUGCCUCCAUCAUCCUACUUCUCUUCACCAUCACUCUGGGGAGCUUGGUUUCAUGCAUUUGGAACAAUAGGAGGUUGCAGCCAUUUUGAAAGAGGGCAUCUUAACAGAGGACAACUAAUAGCCUCACUUCAACUGAAAAAAGUGUGAGAUAAUGGCCAUUUUGAAAGAAUUCUUCACAUUUCUCUAAAGGAGAAGAUUUUAAUGAAGUAGCCUCUGCUGAUAGAUAAGCAUUCAGUUAUAUAAAAAAAGGCACAAAAAAUUACCAUGCAUCCUACGUAUAUUUUUUUUUAAAAUGCCCAUUGUGCUGCACUAUGUGUUGUGCACUAUGCACGAUGUGCUGCAGUCUAAAACCCCCUUUAUGGGCCAACAUGUUCAGGCUUCUUUAGAGCAGUGUAUAGCAACCAACACAUCCUAAGGAAUUUGGCCCUAAAAGGUUAAAAAAAGAUGUAUUUUUAGAUAAGUACCUAUCUUCAUAUUGUUGUAAAUAUCAUAUGGCUACAUUCUCUGAGUUUCUUGUUUUGUGAUCAAGUAAAGUAUGACAUUUUUAAUUGAAAAAAGAUGGGAAUUCCAUCACAGAAAUAUAAGGGAAAAUAAAGAAAAAAAAUCUAAAAUGUCUUCAAAAAUCAAUUUUAAUCUGGGACCACAAACACUGCAAUGUCUUGAUUAUCAUCACAUGCUUAUUGCAUGGUGUCAUUAGAGGGCAAAGUUAAGGAUGCCCUGAGCAUUUACAUAUCUUGUUUGGAUUUAAGUUUAAACCUCACCUCUGAAUCCUCUGCUUCUUUAGGGGAUAAUUACAAUACAUUUUAUCCUAGAUUACCGAUACGUAUUUUCAACCUUCACUCCCUCUUACUGUAGUUUUUGCCUGGGAAUACUAUGUAGUCUAUUAAACAGGCCUAGGAUGAAAGAGAAAGACACUAUUGUGUGUGAGGGGUAUACUCUAAUUCUAAAAAAAGCCUUUUGGAUGAAAUAUUUCAUAUUCAGUCUCAGAGGGGAUUUUUUUUUUCAAAUCUGUAAAAUCAGAGAUAAACCCCUUCAACUAUCUUUGAGUUAUCAAAAGGUAAAAUAUGACAUUUUCCAUUUAAAAUAAAUGUUAGGACACUGCUUUACUCAAAGAAUGAAAAAAACUAUGCCUGAAAUUUAUUACUUGAAAUUUCAGUUUUGCUGAUCCUCAGUGAGGCCUAGGCCUUUCUGCUGUCAGAAUCCAUUUUCCCACCCAGAGUAAACCAGUGUUAUGAGCAUUGAAAUCUUAUUUUUGUGCAUGGUAACUUCGGGAGCUAUGAACUAUCAGGGCUAGUAUCUACACAGAAAACUUCCUCUGUAGAUUGAUUUCAAUGUAGAAACAGAUUCUGGACCAGAUUCUCUCUGUGUAUUCUGGCCAUUUUCUGCUGCUCAAGUAGUGCAAAAUGGUAGACGGUUGCCCUACCUGGCUAGCUGAUUAUUUCUCCAGUGUGGGGAAGUUUUCACCUGGCAUAAAGAGGCAUAAUCAGCCUUUAUGCCAACUACCCCACCCACACGAUGUAUGGGACAGGAGAGAGCAUGACACAGCAUACUUUCACUCAACCAAUUCUCAACUGAUGUGUGGUCCCACAGGAAGCACAGCCAGCUGGCACAGAAGUUAGAGCAGCCCCUAAGCUCUCCUGUACCAACUGAAUCUCAGCACAGGAGAGAAUCUGGGUGCUUAUGCAUGACUUUUAACGUCUGUAGGAGUUGACCUCUCUACCGUGAAGCUUUCAGCACCUCAGGAGAAGGAUUUCUCUCUCUUUGGAAAGCACAGGGAAAUUAAAAUAUAACUUAUGUUAAGGUUACAAAUCUCAUGACUUAUAGAGUUUAUGUGCAAAAACAGUGGUUCUCAUACUGUAGUCAUUAUUAAUUUGCAUAUGCUGCAUGUGUGUUGUAUCAUCAAUUUCUGGAUUGAUAUCUAAAUGUCUACAUAAAUAUGAAUUUAUGGAAACCACAAAGUAUACAGGAUGUGUAGCAUGGCUGAGUUAAUGUUACAACAGAAAUUUUAACUUCUUCCAUUUCCUCACUUUGUGAGCAUUUACAUUCCUAACCUUAAUGUUACUAGUUAAUAGAGAAACAUGCAUUAAUGUAUCAAAACCUCAAACAAUGGGCACAGAGAAGCCAGUGGUAGGAUUAGAAUCCAUCAGCUAGACCUCCAGCUACAGUAAAAUGUCAGAGCUCCAUUGACUUCAACUGAGCUACAACAAUUUACACAACUGAGGAUCUGGCCCUGUCUCUGAACAUAGCAGGGUAAGCGCUCUGUCAAGCUUCACACACACUUGCGGUUUAUUCAAAUAGACUGAUGUCCCCUUUCCCUUUUUCACACUUUACAGGCAGCAGCAGAGAAGGCUCAUUGUCUGAAGUAACCGUUGGACUGUGCUUCUGCCUGGAUGUAGUGCUGGGCAGCAAUGAAAGUUACAGACAUAAGUACAAGCCUCUGGGAGGAGUCAACUCAGGCACCUGGUUAAGGAGAGAAAGUUCUUUUUGUAGGAACUACAGCACCCAACAUGGCACCCAGCAGUGUGCGCACAGCACCAGAUGACAACAGAAAGCAAAGCAAAUGGCUGUAUCCUUCAACACCAACUUAUAACAGUUUUAUCAGACCCUUCCAUCUGAAGGAUUGCAUCAUGUUAUUUUACGUCUGGACAAGAACAAACUUCAUCUUUGCCUCCUGAUCUUCUUGGUUAAAAUGGAUUGGAAGAUUUGAUCUGACAAGAGACCCUAUCUGUUGGAGUAUUGUCAGAAAAGUGGUUAUGUAAAAACAACACCCUCUUACCACAUUACAUUGUGCAUUUCUGAGCCAAAAUUGUUGACUUUACUCACAAAAAACAGGUUUGUAUUCCUGUUAUCCCUGCAGAGCCAACAGUUAUGAGCACCCUAACUGGACUUUAUUCUGCCUCCUACACCAUCAUCAACAUUGUCUGCAAAGCCCUCAUUGCAGAACCUUUACCUUUGGAGCUGAUGUUAGAGGAACAAUACAGGGAGAAACUGCAACAGAAGAAAAAGGGCAGUGGCAAGAGAGGUUUCUUCAAAUUAUUGGGCCUACAACUAGAAGACAAAAGUGGUCAGUUCACGUGACAAUGGUCUUCGUAUUGCCAAGCAGGACACAGAGGCUUCAAGGCAGAAACAAAGCAUCACGCACAAAGCUACAAAACUGUCCCAUUUCUAAACCAAUGGAAAGCAACACAGAGAAUUUUUAAAAAGAUCUUGAAAACGUCGUCAGGGCUAAAACAAAAUUUGUUUCUGGUAUGAUGCUAAUUUCCAUUCCAAGUCACUGUAACAGUCCUGCUGGGAAAUUUGCUUCUGAAAUGCACACUGUGGGUUUUGUUUGUUGUUGUUUUUUGUUUUUUAAAUUAUGAGUACUGGGUAGAAUCUGAAUGAGAUAUUCUUCCCUCCCCCCAGGGUUCACUCUUGUAUUAGCAGAAAUCAAACAGGCUAGCCAUGUCUCUCUAACUAAUCUUCAGUCUGACACUGUUCACAUAGUACAGCUUUCGCUGCAGGAAGAGCCAGAAUUGGGCAAACGCGUUUGCCCUCCAGCAAGUGAGGGAAACAAACAGGAAGAAUGCUACUUGCAUCUACUCUACUUUAAAUUUCUUGUCAGAGAGAAAACUAAAUUGUGAAGGAAAGAAUAAUAAUUCAUGAAGGUAAGUGGUAAUGGGGAUGUAAUGCAACAUGCAUUUAUCAAAGAUAGAUCAUGCCAUAUUAACUCGAUUUCCUUCUUUCAGAAAAUAACUUUUUUAGCUAGGAAAGAUUUACUGUACCUAAACCUCAGUAAUGCGUUUGACACGGUACCACAUGGGAAACCAUUAGUUACAUUAGGGAAGAUGGUACUCAGUGUAAGAAAUAUAAUGUGGAUAAGGAAAUAGCUGAAGAGCAAAAGGCAACACGUAGUGCUGAAAGGGGAACUACUGGACUGGAAGGAAAUUACUAGUGG
Long non-coding RNA from Gopherus evgoodei (Goodes thornscrub tortoise), 4685 nucleotides. RefSeq lists it as uncharacterized. The record is from RefSeq and is a predicted model, not a curated record. NCBI's taxonomy places the organism in Eukaryota, Metazoa, Chordata, Testudines, Testudinidae. The transcript has 3 exons.